CCAACAUCUCUCUGCUACUACCCAUUUUCUCGGCUUUUAUUGUGCUUUGUGUUGUGUUGGUCUUGCAGUUGCAGAGUGGGUUUGUGAGUGCAGGGAAUGGAGGAGGGCUUGUGAUGAAUUACUACAAGGAGUCGUGCCAUCAGGUGGAAGAGAUCAUUUAGGAGAAUGUUCAUUUGCUUUACAAGUGCUACAAGAACACAACUUUCUCCUAGUUGAGGAACAUCUUCCAUGACUGCGUUGUGCAGUUUGCAGAUCUUGGUCAACCAUAUUUGGAUCAUUUGCUAGAUCCGCUUGAACUCGGAUCUGGCCUUUUCUCUACAUCAUUAGGCGUGAGAAAGAUGUGUCCCAAAUGCAGAUUCACUCAAUCGAGGAGAGAGACUUACGAUUUUUCUCUCUAUAUUGUUAAAGACAUUAGGGUUUUGAAUUUUUUUGAACCAAUUCAUGAAUGGCUAAUGCAUGCACCUACUUGGGCUUUAUGGCUGCCUUGAAUUGUGUGAGAGAUAGAUUGCUUCGGGAUGGUUGGAGCCCCUAGCCCUUCAAACUGCAGGAGUGAGAGAGACGGAUUGGAGAUAGCGACAUGGAUUGAAAUGGAACCUCCUUCUAGAAAUUAGUUUGGGGAUUGAUGGAGAAGAGAUGAUUCAUGUGAACCACAAAGGGGUGACUAUAGCUCCAGGUGAGAAGCCCUGCAUUCUUCGUUGGCUCUCUAUUGUUGUGACUAAAAUCAUGCUCUAUGCACAAUGAGAAAAACACAAAUUCUUUGGACAAUUUAUUUUUGUUAUAUGUUGCUCCAUAAGUACCACUGCCUACAUCCCCAUGUCUUGGUCUGUUUGUUACUGUUUAUUCUUGUAACACAUAUGUUUCCCAUUGUUUUAUUGUCAAUAACCUUGUCACAACAACUUAAGAGAGAUCCAUUCACCAUGAAACUUGAAGAGUUGAUGGCACUUUCACCAUUAUCCUAAAAUCUUUGCGAGUACAACUCUCUUCUCUUUAUAUAGGUCCAGUUAUCAUGGAAUUAUUCUAAUUGAAUGGCAAAGAGGGGUGCAUUCUGUACGACCCCUCCCUUGAUCAUACUUUGUAUAACUUAGUUUGAAUUUAGUUGAU
Molecule: long non-coding RNA, 1101 nt
Organism: Cryptomeria japonica (Japanese cedar)
Lineage: Eukaryota; Viridiplantae; Streptophyta; Pinopsida; Cupressales; Cupressaceae
Exons: 3
Source: RefSeq, a predicted model, not a curated record